This 489-nucleotide ribosomal RNA is filed under the name uncultured bacterium. Its description in RNAcentral is "partial 16S ribosomal RNA". It matches the Rfam family "Bacterial small subunit ribosomal RNA", at positions 899 to 1397 of the family's 1533-position model. The record is from RNAcentral.
ACUCAAAUGAAUUGACGGGAACCCGCACAAGCGGUGGAGCAUGUGGUUCAAUUCGACGAUAAGCGAGGAACCUUACCAGGUCUUGACAUUCAGCUGCAUCUUUCCUGAAAGGGAGAGAGCCUUCGAGGGUGCUGAACAGGUGCUGCACGGCUGUCGUCAGCUCGUGUCGUGAGAUGUCGGGUUAAGUCCUCUAACGAGCGCAACCCCUAUGACAUGUUAAAAUAUUCAUGUCAGACUGCCCCCUUGAAGGGGGAGGAAGGAAGGGAUGACGUCAAGUCAGCGUGGUCCUUUGAUGACCUGGGCUACACACGUGCUACAAUGGGGUGCAACAAUGGGUUGCCAAGUCGCAAGACGGAGCUAAUCUCACCAAACCACCCCCCAGUUCGGAUUGCGGGCUGCAACUCGCCCGCAUGAAGCCGGAAUCGCUAGUAACCGCGCAUCAGCCUCGGUGCGGUGAAUACGUUCUCGGGUUUUGUACACACCGCCCGU